Long non-coding RNA from Scylla paramamosain (green mud crab), 701 nucleotides. RefSeq lists it as uncharacterized. The record is from RefSeq and is a predicted model, not a curated record. The transcript has 2 exons. NCBI's taxonomy places the organism in Eukaryota, Metazoa, Arthropoda, Malacostraca, Decapoda, Portunidae.
CCUUCGAACUGAGACACUGAAUCUGUAACUCUCAGCCGCCUUAGUCCUGCUCGCCUCGCCACUGCCGCGUGGUUACGUCAAGACAGCGGGCGGCCGCGUACUAGUUUCCUUAGUACUUGUGCUUCCGUGUCAAUACCGUGUGCUGUAAACUGCUGAACGAACUGAGAUACUCAUUCAGUUUUGGUCGCCUCUCCAUUAUCUCGUGGUGACGUAAAGGUGACGGCCCGUGUGUUAGUUUCCCCGGUAAUUGUGCCUCCGUAACAUUACUGUGUGCCGUGGUCGUGAGAACUGCGAGGCGGUGGUGUAGACUGUGCCGUGGAGAGCCGCGGGGUGUUGGAAUCGCCUGUCAGUCACCUUGAAGGCGUCAUAUUCCCUCCCUGCUCUUCCCCGUGUCUUCCUGUCUAUGUUGAAACACCUGGCUUUAGAGACCAUUGCCAGAGCGUCUGCCUCUGUUCCGGCGGCGCAUCACGUCUACGUUGACGGCUAGCUGUAGGAGGAUGGGAGUGCCGUGUGCUCCAUAUUCUCCGUGACAAUGGUGCCGCCCGGAGGAGAGCAGUGAGCCGGCGACUCACAGUCGGCUCUUUACGCCCUCGCUUCUCCAAGACCAACGCACCAGGAAGAUGUACAGAAAACAUUACGUCAGCUGGCCACAGCUCAAGGCAACAGGUUAGUCAUAUCAUUCUUGUGGUACCUUCUCAUGU